GAUGAAGAACGCAGCGAAAUGCGAUAAGUAGUGUGAAUUGCAGAAUUCAGUGAAUCAUCGAAUCUUUGAACGCACAUUGCGCCCCUUGGUAUACCAUGGGGCAUGCCUGUUCGAGCGUCAUUUGUACCUUCAAGCUUUGCUUGGUGUUGGGUGUUUGUCUCGCCUCCGCGUGUAGACUCGCCUCAAAACAAUUGGCAGCCGGCGUAUUGAUUUCGGAGCGCAGUACAUCUCGCGCUUUGCACUCACAACGACGACGUCCAAAAGUACAUUUUUACACUCUUGACCUCGGAUCAGGUAGGGAUACCCGCUGAACUUAAGCAUAUCAAUAAGCGGAGGA
RNAcentral lists this unclassified non-coding RNA (337 nucleotides) under soil metagenome. RNAcentral describes it as "partial contains 5.8S ribosomal RNA, internal transcribed spacer 2, and large subunit ribosomal RNA". The stretch from base 1 to 120 matches the Rfam family "5.8S ribosomal RNA", at positions 35 to 154 of the family's 154-position model. The record is from RNAcentral.